CCUACGGGGGGCUGCAGUGGGGAAUAUUGGACAAUGGGCGCAAGCCUGAUCCAGCAAUGCCGCGUGUGUGAAGAAGGCCUGCGGGUUGUAAAGCACUUUAAGCAGGAAAGAAGGGCGGAGCGAUAAUACCGUUUCGCAUUGACGUUACCUGCAGAAUAAGCACCGGCUAACUCCGUGCCAGCAGCCGCGGUAAUACGGCGGGUGCGAGCGUUAAUCGGAAUGCCUGUGGGUGAUGUGAGCAUUCGGUGGUGAAAGCCCUGGGCUUAACCUGGGAACUGCGGUGGAUACUGUCGGGCUAGAGUGUGGUAGAGGGGAGUGGAAUUUCCGGUGUAGCAGUGAAAUGCGUAGAGAUCGGAAGGAACACCAGUGGCGAAGGCGGCUCCCUGGACCAACACUGACGCUGAGGUGCGAAAGCGUGGGGAGCAAACAGGAUUAGAUACCCUAGUAGUC
RNAcentral lists this ribosomal RNA (450 nucleotides) under uncultured bacterium. Its description in RNAcentral is "partial 16S ribosomal RNA". It matches the Rfam family "Bacterial small subunit ribosomal RNA", at positions 338 to 795 of the family's 1533-position model. The record is from RNAcentral.